RNAcentral lists this transfer RNA (72 nucleotides) under Elusimicrobiota bacterium. RNAcentral's name for it is "Elusimicrobia bacterium (anaerobic digester metagenome) tRNA-Lys". It matches the Rfam family "tRNA". From Rfam's summary of the family: Transfer RNA (tRNA) molecules are approximately 80 nucleotides in length. Their secondary structure includes four short double-helical elements and three loops (D, anti-codon, and T loops). Lineage: Bacteria; Pseudomonadati; Elusimicrobiota. The record is from RNAcentral.
GCGCCCGUAGCUCAGGGGUAGAGCAUCCGCCUUUUAAGCGGGUGGCCGAGCGUUCGAAUCGCUCCGGGCGCA